RNAcentral lists this long non-coding RNA (600 nucleotides) under Numida meleagris (helmeted guineafowl). Its description in RNAcentral is "lncRNA (ENSNMEG00000017510.1)". Lineage: Eukaryota; Metazoa; Chordata; Aves; Galliformes; Numididae. The record is from RNAcentral.
UGCAGUAUAAAAAGUACAUCAUAAAAAGCUCUAUUGGAAUGCUUUUUGUCUUCACAGGCAAUACGCAAAAGAGAUGACCUUCUGAGAAAGUCGGAAGCUGAUUUCCUGCAGGCAAAGAAAAGUAUCAAAGCAAUAGUGGCUGAGGUGGAGCACCUUGGCAAGUGUGGUCAAGAAACUGAAAGCCAGUAUCCAGGACACACAGAAAGAAAGGAAUCAGACAGAGACAGAAACUGCCAUACUGAGAACUGAGAUUCAGCAGCUAAAUCAGGAACUGCAGGGUGUACAUUAGCAGUGCAGAAGAACAGCCCAAGAACUUGCCAGUCAAGAUGAAAAACUUCUUCUAAUGGAAUCCAGCUUGAAAGCAACUCAAGAGCAGCUAAGUGAGCAAAUAGCAGAAACAGUUCACCAAGAACAGAACAGUAGAAAAUCACAGGCAGAGCUGAAUGAAGACCCUGAGAGAACGUAUAAUAGCUUCUGAAGAAGAAAUUAGCGAUUACAAAGACAUCCCAGUGUGCACUGUAUGGAGACACCGAGGCGGAAAUACUUGCAUAGAUUACAAAAGGUUCAUCUUGUUUACAGUUGUCUAACCUCUUACAGAAU